CCUACGGGUGGCAGCAGUGGGGAAUAUUGGGCAAUGGGCGCAAGCCUGACCCAGCAACGCCGCGUGAAGGAAGAAGGCUUUCGGGUUUUAAACUUCUUUUCUCAGGGACGAAGCAUGUGCCGGUACCUGAGGACUAAGCCACGGCUAACUACGUGCUCGCAUCCGCGGUAAUACGUAGGUGGCAAGCGUUAUCCGUAUUUACUGGUUGUAAAGGGCGUUUAGUCGGGAAGGCAAGUCAGAUGUGAAAACCAUGGGCUCAACCUGUGGCCUGCAUUUGAAACUGUUUUUCGUGAGUACUGGAGAGGCAGACGGAAUUCCUAGUGUAGCGGUGAAAUGCGUAGAUAUUAGGAGGAACACCAGUGGCGAAGGCGGUCUGCUGGACAGCAACUGACGCUGAGGCGCGAAAGCGUGGGGAGCAAACAGGAUUAGAUACCCGUGUAGUC
Molecule: ribosomal RNA, 443 nt
Filed under: uncultured bacterium
Lineage: Bacteria
Description: partial 16S ribosomal RNA
Rfam family: Bacterial small subunit ribosomal RNA
Source: RNAcentral